Molecule: ribosomal RNA, 432 nt
Filed under: uncultured Gammaproteobacteria bacterium
Lineage: Bacteria; Pseudomonadati; Pseudomonadota; Gammaproteobacteria
Description: bacterial SSU rRNA
Rfam family: Bacterial small subunit ribosomal RNA
Source: RNAcentral
GGGGAAUAACCAGUCGAAAGAUUGGCUAAUACCGCAUACGCCCUUCGGGGGAAAGCGGGGGUCGCAAGACCUCGCGUCGAUGGAUGAGCCGAAGUCGGAUUAGCUAGUUGGUAGGGUAACGGCCUACCAAGGCGACGAUCCGUAGCUGGUCUGAGAGGACGACCAGCCACACUGGGACUGAGACACGGCCCAGACUCCUACGGGAGGCAGCAGUGGGGAAUAUUGGACAAUGGGGGCAACCCUGAUCCAGCGACGCCGCGUGUGUGAAGAAGGCCUGCGGGUUGUAAAGCACUUUUAGUGGGGAUGAAAAGCACAGGUCUAAUACAUCUGUGUCUUGACCUAACCCAAAGAAAAAGCACCGGCUAACUCUGUGCCAGCAGCCGCGGUAAUACGAAUCGAAUUCCCGCGGCCGCCAUGGCGGCCGGGAGCAUG